This 373-nucleotide long non-coding RNA is filed under the name Physcomitrium patens. RNAcentral describes it as "long non-coding RNA (PPAT_LNC011617)". Lineage: Eukaryota; Viridiplantae; Streptophyta; Bryopsida; Funariales; Funariaceae. The record is from RNAcentral.
GACGGGCGUUAAUUUGAUAAAUUCUAGCUUGCGAACCCACGUCCCCCUCAACUCCAAAUCCCUCUCAGCUACCAUGGAACUUUGAGGCCGACGACCAAAGAAAAUGGCGCUCCUCACCGCUUCUCUGCUGUUAUUUUUCUAACGUCUUGCUCCCUUUCAGCGUCCAAUUUCUGUUUAUCUCUCAUGUUUGCGCAGUACGUAAUUUUAUCUCAGAGAAAGUGUGCACUAUAACUGCAGGUGAAGCCGAGGCGAAGCACAAUCAACGGACCUCCGAUUGUGAGGGAACGAUUCUACAAGGAACACUAAGCGAAGAAACGACGUGUAUGAAAGAAACCAUAAAGUUGAUUCAGUCAACAACCCCCCAGGGAAACCU